RNAcentral lists this transfer RNA (96 nucleotides) under Candidatus Hermodarchaeota archaeon. RNAcentral's name for it is "tRNA-Arg". It matches the Rfam family "tRNA". Rfam says of the family: Transfer RNA (tRNA) molecules are approximately 80 nucleotides in length. Their secondary structure includes four short double-helical elements and three loops (D, anti-codon, and T loops). The record is from RNAcentral. Lineage: Archaea; Promethearchaeati; Candidatus Hermodarchaeota.
GGGCCCGUGGCCAAGCCGGAUAGGUUUUACCUCCCUGGAGAAGGCGCCGGCCUCCUAAGCCGGAGAUCCCGGGUUCGAAUCCCGGCGGGCCCGCCA